Molecule: transfer RNA, 73 nt
Filed under: Bacteroides fragilis
Lineage: Bacteria; Pseudomonadati; Bacteroidota; Bacteroidia; Bacteroidales; Bacteroidaceae
Also listed under: 1 other name
Description: tRNA-Phe
Rfam family: tRNA
About the family: Transfer RNA (tRNA) molecules are approximately 80 nucleotides in length. Their secondary structure includes four short double-helical elements and three loops (D, anti-codon, and T loops).
Source: RNAcentral
GGUGCCAUAGCUCAGUUGGUAGAGCAAAGGACUGAACAUCCUUGUGUCCCCGGUUCGAUUCCUGGUGGCACCA